UACGUAGGGUCCGAGCGUUGUCCGGAAUCAUUGGGCGUAAAGGGCGCGUAGGCGGCUUCAUAAGUCUUGGGUGAAAGCCCUCGGCUCAACCGAGGAAUUGCCUUGGAUACUGUGAAGCUCGAGGCUGGAAGAGGACAGUGGGAUUCCCGGUGUAGCGGUGAAAUGCGUAGAUAUCGGGAGGAACACCAGUGGCGAAGGCGGCUGUCUGGGCCAGUUCUGACGCUGAGGCGCGAAAGCGUGGGGAGCAAACAGG
RNAcentral lists this ribosomal RNA (253 nucleotides) under uncultured bacterium. RNAcentral describes it as "partial 16S ribosomal RNA". It matches the Rfam family "Bacterial small subunit ribosomal RNA", at positions 524 to 776 of the family's 1533-position model. The record is from RNAcentral.